UAACAUCAAACUUGUUAUUCAAGUCACGAC
Molecule: non-coding RNA, 30 nt
Filed under: Mus musculus (house mouse)
Lineage: Eukaryota; Metazoa; Chordata; Mammalia; Rodentia; Muridae
Source: RNAcentral